GUAGUCCAUGCCGUAAACGUUGGGCACUAGGUGUGGGGCUCAUUCCACGAGUUCCGUGCCGCAGCUAACGCAUUAAGUGCCCCGCCUGGGGAGUACGGCCGCAAGGCUAAAACUCAAAGGAAUUGACGGGGGCCCGCACAAGCGGCGGAGCAUGCGGAUUAAUUCGAUGCAACGCGAAGAACCUUACCAAGGCUUGACAUAUACCGAAAACUCGUGGAGACACGGGGUCCGCAAGGGCGGUAUACAGGUGGUGCAUGGUUGUCGUCAGCUCGUGUCGUGAGAUGUUGGGUUAAGUCCCGCAACGAGCGCAACCCUCGUCCUAUGUUGCCAGCACGUCAUGGUGGGGACUC
RNAcentral lists this ribosomal RNA (350 nucleotides) under uncultured Actinotalea sp. Its description in RNAcentral is "bacterial SSU rRNA". It matches the Rfam family "Bacterial small subunit ribosomal RNA", at positions 790 to 1140 of the family's 1533-position model. Lineage: Bacteria; Bacillati; Actinomycetota; Actinomycetes; Micrococcales; Cellulomonadaceae. The record is from RNAcentral.